CAACUGGCUUCUACCGGUAGGUGACAGGGCAGUGUUCCCAGCAGUGGGACAAGAGGCACUGGCACCAGGCCAUGAGCCAUGCAUUCCUAGCUCUGCAGGGCAUGCAUGCCACGCGGACUGUGACAGUGAGCUCUUCCAGGCCCCCAGUGAGCCUGAGAGGGGGUCUGGGAAGAGUCAAGAGACACCCAGACAGUGCCAUGUGGCAGUGAAGCCUCUGGUCCCAAUCUGCCAGGGUGCAAAGCCCCAGGACUGCUGGUGGGAUGUUGGCUACAACAGAAUGGCAGAGAGGAAAGGACCCUCCGGGAUCUUCCAGUUCAGCCAGCCCAUUUUACAGAGGUGGAGACUGAGGCCAGAGGCAGGUCUGGUCCAGACAGCUGUGAGAAGUCCCCUGGAGGCAGCGUCCCAGUGGAGCUGGGAGGAAAGAGGGGCCCAGAAAAAGGAAUUUGACCUCUGAUCUGCAGCCAGUUGGUAGCAUUAUUCUGGAUUAUCCUAAAUUGAGCCUGGAACCCUGGGCUUGUGUGACAGACCAAGGGGCCCCACGGGCUCUCUCUGCUCAGGCAGCUGGAGACACAGGUAGCGCCGUAACACCCAGCGACACAGGCAUGAUUCUUUUCCAUAAAACAUUCACACCACUGCCAGCCUUGAUUCUCAAAACAGCCCUGCCAAGGAGAGGCUGUUACUGUCCCAUUUUACAGAUGAAAACAUCAAGGCUCAGGGCCGG
RNAcentral lists this long non-coding RNA (721 nucleotides) under Homo sapiens (human). Its description in RNAcentral is "HSALNT0277422". Lineage: Eukaryota; Metazoa; Chordata; Mammalia; Primates; Hominidae. The record is from RNAcentral.